This 305-nucleotide ribosomal RNA is filed under the name uncultured bacterium. Its description in RNAcentral is "partial 16S ribosomal RNA". It matches the Rfam family "Bacterial small subunit ribosomal RNA", at positions 508 to 807 of the family's 1533-position model. The record is from RNAcentral.
ACAGCAGCCGCCGCGGGAAUACGAAGGGGGCUAGCGUUGCUCGGAUUUACUGGGCGUAAAGGGCGCGUAGGCGGGCGAAUCAGUCAGGGGUGAAAUCCCAAGGCUCAACCUUGGAACUGCCUUUGAUACUGUUUGUCUUGAGUUCGAGAGAGGUAAGUGGAACUGCGAGUGUAGAGGUGAAAUUCGUAGAUAUUCGCAAGAACACCAGUGGCGAAGGCGGCUUACUGGCUCGAAACUGACGCUGAGGCGCGAAAGCGUGGGGAGCAAACAGGAUUAGAUACCCCGGUAGUCCCUGUCUCUUAUAC